GCUUGUCUCAAAGAUUAAGCCAUGCAUGUCUUAGUGUAAAUAACUCUUAUGAAACUGCGAAUGGCUCAUUAAAUCAGUUAUCAAAUACGUGAUGGUCGCCUACUACAUGGAUAACCGUGGUAAUUCUAGUGCUAAUACAUGCAACGAUCCCCGACUUUUGAAGGGGAGUAUUUAUUAGAUUAAAAAACCAAUCGUAGCGAUACGUUUUUUGGUGAAUCAUGAUAACUUUUCGAAUCGCACGACAUUGUUGGCGAUGGUUCAAUCAAAUUUCUGCCCUAUCACCUUUCGAUGGUAGUAUAGAGGACUACCAUGGGUAUAACGGGUAACGGAGAAUUAGGGUUCGAUUCCGGAGAGGGAGCCUGAGAAACGGCUACCACAUCCAAGGAAGGCAGCAGG
Molecule: ribosomal RNA, 396 nt
Filed under: uncultured Rhizophydiales
Lineage: Eukaryota; Fungi; Chytridiomycota; Chytridiomycetes; Rhizophydiales
Description: partial small subunit ribosomal RNA
Rfam family: Eukaryotic small subunit ribosomal RNA
Source: RNAcentral